ACUGGGCGUAAAGCGUGCGUAGGCGGCUUUUAAGUCGGAUGUGAAAUCCCUGAGCUUAACUUAGGAAUUGCAUUCGAUACUGGGAAGCUAGAGUAUGGGAGAGGAUGGUAGAAUUCCAGGUGUAGCGGUGAAAUGCGUAGAGAUCUGGAGGAAUACCGAUGGCGAAGGCAGCCAUCUGGCCUAAUACUGACGCUGAGGUACGAAAGCAUGGGGAGCAAACAGGAUUAGAUACCCUGGUAGUCCAUGCCGUAAACGAUGUCUACUAGCCGUUGGGGCCUUUGAGGCUUUAGUGGCGCAGCUAACGCGAUAAGUAGACCGCCUGGGGAGUACGGUCGCAAGACUAAAACUCAAAUGAAUUGACGGGGGCCCGCACAAGCGGUGGAGCAUGUGGUUUAAUUCGAUGCAACGCGAAGAACCUUACCUGGUCUUGACAUAGUAAGAACUUUCCAGAGAUGGAUUGGUGCCUUCGGGAACUUACAUACAGGUGCUGCAUGGCUGUCGUCAGCUCGUGUCGUGAGAUGUUGGGUUAAGUCCCGCAACGAGCGCAACCCUUUUCCUUAUUUGCCAGCGGGUUAAGCCGGGAACUUUAAGGAUACUGCCAGUGACAAACUGGAGGAAGGCGGGGACGACGUCAAGUCAUCAUGGCCCUUACGACCAGGGCUACACACGUGCUACAAUGGUCGGUACAAAGGGUUGCUACCUAGCGAUAGGAUGCUAAUCUCAAAAAGCCGAUCGUAGUCCGGAUUGGAGUCUGCAACUCGACUCCAUGAAGUCGGAAUCGCUAG
This 785-nucleotide ribosomal RNA is filed under the name uncultured Acinetobacter sp. RNAcentral's name for it is "bacterial SSU rRNA". It matches the Rfam family "Bacterial small subunit ribosomal RNA", at positions 553 to 1338 of the family's 1533-position model. Lineage: Bacteria; Pseudomonadati; Pseudomonadota; Gammaproteobacteria; Moraxellales; Moraxellaceae. The record is from RNAcentral.